UGCCAGCCGCCGCGGUAAUACGGAGGAUCCGAGCGUUAUCCGGAUUUAUUGGGUUUAAAGGGUGCGCAGGCGGACUAUUAAGUCAGUGGUGAAAUCCAACAGCUCAACUGUUGAACUGCCAUUGAAACUGAUAGUCUUGAGUAUGGUUGUGGUAGGCGGAAUAUAGCAUGUAGCGGUGAAAUGCUUAGAUAUGCUAUAGAACACCGAUCGCGAAGGCAGCUUACCGAGCCAUUACUGACGCUCAUGCACGAAAGCGUGGGGAGCAAACAGGAUUAGAUA
Molecule: ribosomal RNA, 279 nt
Filed under: uncultured bacterium
Lineage: Bacteria
Description: partial 16S ribosomal RNA
Rfam family: Bacterial small subunit ribosomal RNA
Source: RNAcentral